This 374-nucleotide ribosomal RNA is filed under the name uncultured Veillonellaceae bacterium. RNAcentral's name for it is "bacterial SSU rRNA". It matches the Rfam family "Bacterial small subunit ribosomal RNA", at positions 179 to 525 of the family's 1533-position model. The record is from RNAcentral. Lineage: Bacteria; Bacillati; Bacillota; Negativicutes; Veillonellales; Veillonellaceae.
UUUUCUAUCGCAUGGUGAGAAGAAGAAAAAGGACGGCCUCUACACAAAGCGGUCGCCGAAGGAGGGGUUUUGCGUCUGAUUAGCUAGUUGGAGGGGUAACGGCCCAACAAGGCGACCGAUCAGUAGCCGGUCUGAGAGGAUGAACGGCCACAUUGGGACUGAGACACGGCCCAGACUCCUACGGGAGGCAGCAGUGGGGAAUCUUCCGCAAUGGACGAAAGUCUGACGGAGCAACGCCGCGUGAGUGAAGACGGUCUUCGGAUUGUAAAGCUCUGUUAUACGGGACGAACGGCAAGGUGGUAAAUAGCCAUCAUGAGUGACGGUACCGUAAGAGAAAGCCACGGGCUAACUACGUGCCAGCAGCCGCGGUAAAU